Molecule: long non-coding RNA, 384 nt
Filed under: Prunus dulcis (almond)
Lineage: Eukaryota; Viridiplantae; Streptophyta; Magnoliopsida; Rosales; Rosaceae
Description: sRNA ncRNA
Source: RNAcentral
AUAAGGGCUUAUUGAAUAUCGCCUGGCGAUACCCAAAGAUGGGACGGCAGCAGCGGAGCUAAUUUAUUUGUUGGCUAAAUUGUAACUGUGGUUAUUGAAUUAUACAUUGAUUUGCAUUUUCGUCCAUAAAUUUUAAUGAUAGUUAAUGUCGUUCUCAAAUUAGGUUUUGCGUACUUUUCUAUUUUUUUUAUUUUUAUAGUUAAUGUCGUUCUCAAAUUGGAUUUCUUAAAAAAUUAAUAACUUCAAAGAAAUCCAAAAAAAUCAAAGCUUUGGAAUUUGGAUGAAAAAAUUGUCCGUUUGUCGUGCCAAACUCACCCAGUAGCAGUCCUGGUUUCUGUUUAACUCCAAUCUGUAUUUCUCCAAGGUAAACUCUCAACCGCCCAG